GGUGCAUGUUUUGUUAAAUACAAGAACAUCAAUAAACAAAUGCGGAAAAUCUCUCUUUGGGUGUCACAAUGCUUCACCAAAUUGGGAAGUAGCGGCAGAUGUGCCAGAUCCAAUUCGGCCUCCAAGAAACUGAAGAACGAACUUCCAAUUUGGUAGGUAGUAGUUGCAGAAAGGCGGCCAUGAAUCUCUUCACCAGAAACAGACCCACAACGAGACCAUGGCCUCUCAGAAAACACUACCCCCUCCUCUACCUGACCCUCCUCUUCCCCCGCCUCUUCCUCUCCUACUUCUUCUCUCUCACUUCCGAUUCCCUCUUCCUCAAGACCUCACUUUCUACUUCCAAAAUGCCCCUCCCUCGGAGGAGAGAAGUUCCUCUGGUACGCUCCCCACAGUGGCUUCAGCAACCAGCUUUCCGAGUUUAAGAACGCCCUUCUCAUGCCCGCCAUUCUGAACCGGACCUUGCUCGUCCCUCCGGUUCUCGAUCACCACGCCGUUGCUCUCGGUAGUUGCCCAAAGUUUUGGGUUUUGAGUCCCAUUGAGAUCAGGAUUUCGGUUUGGAAUCACACGGUUGAGCUCAUUCGGAGUGGGAGUGUGAAUUUAGAUUUUGCUUGCUACAAUGAGUUGGCUGCACAUGCCUCUGUGCUUUAUAGACUAAAGCAAUGUGAGUCUCUGCUAUCUGGGAUGGAUGGGGAUGCAAAGUGUUUAUAUGCUGUUAAUGAAGACUGCAGAACUACCGUGUGGACGUACCAAAAUGGUAAUGAGGACGGGGCAUUGGAUUCUUUCCAGCCGAUGAACAACUUAAGAAGAAAAAGAAAAUUUCAUAUGUUAGAAAAUGCCGUGAUGUAUAUAAUGCUUUUGGACCCGGUUCUGAAGCUGAAUCGGCUACUCUGCUGGCAUUUGGGAGCCUUUUCACUGCACCUUACAAAGGUUCGGAGCUACACAUUAGUAUCCAUGAAGCUCCGAGUGAUCGAAGGAUACAAACUCUGAUUGACAAGAUUGGAUUCCUUCCUUUUAAACCGGAAAUCAUAAGUGCAGGAAAGAAGUUUGCUCAUGAUAUUAGAAGGGCUCCUUUUCUUUGUGCACAGGUCAGAUUGCUAGAUGGACAGUUCAAGAACCAUUGGAAGGCUACUUUUUCGAAGCUAAAACAAACUUUGGAUGGUUUGACACAGAGCCCUCUUCCUAUUCCUAUUUUUAUGAUGACUAAUCUUCCUGAAAGUAACUGGACAGGAACUUAUUUGGGGGAAUUGGUUAAAGAUUCGCAUCAGUUUAAACUGUUUUUCCUGAAAGAAAAAGACAAGUUGAUAAUACAAACUGGCAAAAGAAUUGUGGAUGCAAGUCAUGGCAUGAAGUUUGGGACCUUUCUGAAGAAUCAUGAUCGGACUAGUCAGGUUAAGAAGGGUUGCCCUCCAGGAUUACCUGAUGUUCUUCUAUAUAUAGAGAAAAAUAUUUGUAGUUGUGCUUCUCUUGGAUUUGUUGGGACUGCAGGGUCAACUAUUGCAGAAAUUAUAGAGUCGAUGAGGAAGUUUGGUGCAUCUUAUAGCUAAUUUCUUAUUGUGAAAUCCCUCACAACAUGAGAAAUUCUAAUUUAAUCAAGCUUUUCCUUUAUACAAAAGCAAUUAUGGUUCAGAAGCAUGCCGGAAACUGGUCCUUUUCUUCCACCAUGAAUGCUUGAAUUCUGAGCAUGUACCUGAGUCACAACUUAAUGACACCAGCAGGCUGUCUCGACAGUCUAGGCAGGGUGCUGUGGACAGCAAGGGAUUUGUGUUGAACAAGGUGGAAUUCAGAAACAGUUGCAUUCUUGGUGAAGGUAAUACAUAUCUCAUGCUCCGGUUUCUCAUCAAGAUUUGAGAAGCAAUUUUGCAAUCAUCACGUUCACAUCUUUAAUAGUUCAGUUUUGAGUCUUGACUUGAUAAUGUUCUUCUUUGGCUUGUCGAUUGGUGCAUGAUGGUUCUUUGAGUCCAAUUUUUGGUGAUGCCAUUGAUUAUAAAGACUGUUUAGAUGCAUAUUUGAUUCUCUAAUUCAAUUUAAAUUUAUUAUAUGAACCUGCUGUAAUGUAUAAAUUUCUUGUUAACAGUAUUGUAAUCUGUAUAUCAAUUCCAAGGUGCUUAAAAACGGUUCUUCA
This is an RNA transcript of Pyrus x bretschneideri (Chinese white pear), 2122 nucleotides long. It is a transcript of the gene named O-fucosyltransferase 30, with no coding region annotated. The transcript is spliced from 2 exons. The record is from RefSeq and is a predicted model, not a curated record. NCBI's taxonomy places the organism in Eukaryota, Viridiplantae, Streptophyta, Magnoliopsida, Rosales, Rosaceae.